UACGGAGGGGACUAGCGUUGUUCGGAAUUACUGGGCGUAAAGCGCACGUAGGCGGAUUUGUAAGUCAGGGGUGAAAUCCCGGGGCUCAACCUCGGAACUGCCUUUGAUACUGCAAAUCUCGAGUCCGGAAGAGGUGAGUGGAGUUCCUAGUGUAGAGGUGAAAUUCGUAGAUAUUAGGAAGAACACCAGUGGCGAAGGCGGCUCACUGGUCCGGUACUGACGCUGAGGUGCGAAAGCGUGGGGAGCAAACAGG
RNAcentral lists this ribosomal RNA (253 nucleotides) under uncultured bacterium. RNAcentral's name for it is "partial 16S ribosomal RNA". It matches the Rfam family "Bacterial small subunit ribosomal RNA", at positions 524 to 776 of the family's 1533-position model. The record is from RNAcentral.